RNAcentral lists this unclassified non-coding RNA (330 nucleotides) under soil metagenome. Its description in RNAcentral is "partial contains 5.8S ribosomal RNA, internal transcribed spacer 2, and large subunit ribosomal RNA". The stretch from base 1 to 120 matches the Rfam family "5.8S ribosomal RNA", at positions 35 to 154 of the family's 154-position model. The record is from RNAcentral.
GAUGAAGAACGCAGCGAAAUGCGAUAAGUAAUGUGAAUUGCAGAAUUCAGUGAAUCAUCGAAUCUUUGAACGCACAUUGCGCCCCCUGGUAUUCCGGGGGGCAUGCCUGUUCGAGCGUCAUUUCACCACUCAAGCCUCGCUUGGUAUUGGGCAACGCGGUCCGCCGCGUGCCUCAAAUCGACCGGCUGGGUCUUCUGUCCCCUAAGCGUUGUGGAAACUUUCGCUAAAGGGUGUUCGGGAGGCUACGCCGUAAAACAACCCCAUUUCUAAGGUUGACCUCGGAUCAGGUAGGGAUACCCGCUGAACUUGAGCAUAUCAAUAAGCGGAGGA